RNAcentral lists this ribosomal RNA (427 nucleotides) under uncultured prokaryote. Its description in RNAcentral is "bacterial SSU rRNA". It matches the Rfam family "Bacterial small subunit ribosomal RNA", at positions 355 to 774 of the family's 1533-position model. The record is from RNAcentral.
UGAGGAAUUUUGCGCAAUGGGGGAAACCCUGACGCAGCAACGCCGCGUGAGUGAUGAAGGCCUUCGGGUCGUAAAGCUCUGUCAGGUGGGAGGAAAUGAGUUUGGUUAAUAGCCAGAUUCUUUGACGGUACCACCAAAGGAAGCAUCGGCCAACUCCGUGCCAGCAGCCGCGGUAAUACGGAGGGUGCAAGCGUUAUUCGGAAUUACUGGGCGUAAAGGGUGCGUAGGCGGCGCGAUAAGUCAGGGGUGAAAUAUGUCGGCUCAACCGACAAACUGCCUCUGAAACUGCCGCGCUUGAGGUCGGGAGAGGAAGGUGGAAUUCCAGGUGUAGCGGUGAAAUGCGUAAAUAUCACGCAGAACUCCGAUUGCGAAGGCAGCUUACUAAGCUACAACUGACACUGAAGCACGAAAGCGUGGGGAUCAAACA